This 596-nucleotide ribosomal RNA is filed under the name Paragorgia arborea (bubblegum coral). RNAcentral's name for it is "eukaryotic LSU rRNA". It matches the Rfam family "Eukaryotic large subunit ribosomal RNA", at positions 409 to 811 of the family's 3401-position model. Lineage: Eukaryota; Metazoa; Cnidaria; Anthozoa; Scleralcyonacea; Coralliidae. The record is from RNAcentral.
UAAAAGGGAAGCGAAUGAAACCAGCAAUUCGCCUUGCCAGAUUCAGUCGCCUGCGCUCGAUCACGUGCUUGUUCGCGAUUUUUUCAGACGCGACUCGUACAGUUGGCCGAGCGAAGGCUGCGCACUUCUGGUAGGUGAGUGUCAGCAUCAGAUGGUCACGGGUUAGAAAGUUGCGAUGAAGGUAGAUCCUUACGGAUUGUUCAGCGUCGCAAACAAAUCACCCGAGGCUGCCUGUGGUCUAUCGCAAUGCGUGCCUUCCGUGGGUUGGCUGGUGUCCUGUUCUGUUGAUGCGGUUGUCGACUGCGGCGGACGGCUAUGCCAGUGCGUCCAAACCGCUUCCCGUCUCCAGAUCGGGGUGCACACACCACGCGUUGACGAUGCUGACGAAAAUACGGUUUCAUCCGACCCGUCUUGAAACACGGACCAAGGAGUCUAACAUGUGCGCGAGUCUGUGGGUGAUCGAAACCCGGUGGCGAAAUGAAAGUGAAGGGAACUUUUUGGUUGCUGAGGUGAGAAGCCCGGCCGUCGUGGCCAAGCCGCAUCAUCGACCGACCUGUUCUAAUCCUAGAAAGGUUUGAGUAAGAGCGUAGCUGUUG